RNAcentral lists this unclassified non-coding RNA (822 nucleotides) under Ooceraea biroi (clonal raider ant). RNAcentral's name for it is "60S ribosomal protein L18, transcript variant X1". The record is from RNAcentral. Lineage: Eukaryota; Metazoa; Arthropoda; Insecta; Hymenoptera; Formicidae.
UCCGUAGAUGCCAUUUAUUGCGCAUGCGCGAAAAAGCGGCCUAUCCGCCAUCUGGCAAAACUGCUAUAACCUCAUUCUCUUUUUCACGUUCUCCAGUUCGUGAAAAUGGGUAUCGACAUUAAUCAUAAGCAUGACAGGAAGGUGCGGCGAACGGAACCCAAGUCUCAAGAUGUUUACUUACGUCUUCUUGUUAAAUUAUAUCGGUUCUUAGCGAGAAGGACGAACUCAAAGUUUAACCGUAUUAUUCUGAAACGGCUGUUCAUGAGCAAAAUUCAUCUGCCACCAAUUUCACUAGCUCGCAUUGUGCGAUUCAUGAAGAAACCUGGACGGGAAAAUUGCAUCGCUGUGAUCGUUGGCACUGUUACUGAUGACUCUAGGAUUUUUGAGAUCCCAAAAUUGACGAUAUGCGCGUUGCGCGUGACCGAGAAAGCUCGGGGACGGAUUUUAAAGGCCGGUGGCGAGAUCAUUACGUUCGAUCAGCUGGCAUUGCGCGCGCCAACUGGUAAACGCACCGUCUUGAUGCAAGGCCCACGUAAGGCUCGCGAGAGCGUCAAACACUUUGGCCUGGCACCAGGUGUACCGCACUCUCACACGAAACCAUACGUACGUUCUAAAGGACGGAAGUUUGAACGAGCAAGAGGUCGCAGACGCAGCUGUGGCUAUAAGAAAUAAGAACCAUCGCAUGCUUCGAGGGACAUUCGACGUACUCGCGAUUAUCUUUCCACGUAAUUUUGGAUACUGACCAUACCUGUGCAAGGACCACUCCAAUCCGAGUACACGUCUACCACUAAUAAUUAAAAAUACAAUAUCAUGCAGCUUUAA